GGAUAAGCUACUAAGAGCAUACGGUGGAUGCCUGGGUGCCAAAUGCCGAUGAAGGACGUGGUACACUGCGAAAAGCUCCGGUAAGGUGUGUGCGACCGUAGAACCGGAGAUGUCCGAAUGGGGAAACCCGGA
Molecule: ribosomal RNA, 132 nt
Filed under: uncultured bacterium
Lineage: Bacteria
Description: partial 23S ribosomal RNA
Rfam family: Bacterial large subunit ribosomal RNA
Source: RNAcentral